Molecule: long non-coding RNA, 838 nt
Organism: Schistocerca serialis cubense
Lineage: Eukaryota; Metazoa; Arthropoda; Insecta; Orthoptera; Acrididae
Exons: 2
Source: RefSeq, a predicted model, not a curated record
GUAACGGAACAUAUUAAAGGCUUUACUUUAAUGAAGUAUGUGAUACCCUCCAAAUUCAACCAGUUUAACGAGUAUUUAUGAUUAUAGAAGAGUUAUUGUGUAUGUUAACAAUGAUUGCACAACAUGUAUCCAUAAACAGUCAACCCAUUAAAUUAUACUGAAUAACUGACCCACACAAAAGUUAAUAUCACUUGAUCACUGAUACAGCAAAUGUCAUCAUGUAAAAACACUAAGUUUAUCUUAAAUAAUUAAUAUGAAGUACGAAAAAUAGUAGCCAACUUAGGUAUUUUGGAUCUCCUUAAAUAAAAAUCACCCAGUGAAACCUAUUUGUUCACUAGGAGCCGUUUUCACUCAGUAUUCACGUAAUCAAUCCUAUUUUAGACGAAAACCAAUGUAAUUCUUAAUAAUUCAUGUUACUUAUUUAUGCAAAUUAAAGAAGUCAAUUGACAAACUUCUAAAAAAUGGCCUUUUUGUAACAGAGAAUUAUUCUGUCAAGUCAACAAAUCUGUCUGUCAUUUUCAUAACAUGUUAAAUUAUGUCACUCGAUGCAAAUUAAUAACUUAUCUGCACAAAUUAUGAUAACAGAUGUACAUGUGACUUAUAAACUAUAUCUCUUUUUAGUAGUUCUUUGACAAUGUUAUAAAUACAAGCAGCAAGAAGGGUCGAGGAGGCAGUCGGAAUGUCACUUUGGUAAAGUGUGUUUGUGUGUUAUUGUCUGAGGUGGAUAAACAAUGCAAAGAUCAUGUAAAGGAAGUACUACUUUGUGUUGUGUCAUGGUCUUUGGUGGACAGUGGAAUUAAGAUGGCCACCAGAGUAAUAAAUAUAUGAAGGUUACAUA